This 456-nucleotide ribosomal RNA is filed under the name uncultured microorganism. Its description in RNAcentral is "bacterial SSU rRNA". It matches the Rfam family "Bacterial small subunit ribosomal RNA", at positions 9 to 441 of the family's 1533-position model. The record is from RNAcentral.
GAGUUUGAUCAUGGCUCAGGAUGAACGCUGGCGGCGUGCUUAACACAUGCAAGUCGAACGAAGCGCCUUAUUUGAUUUUCUUCGGAACUGAAGAUUUGGUGACUGAGUGGCGGACGGGUGAGUAACGCGUGGGUAACCUGCCCCUGUACAGGGGGAUAACAAUCAGAAAUGACUGCUAAUACCGCAUAAGACCACAGCACCGCAUGGUGCAGGGGUAAAAACUCCGGUGGUACAGGAUGGACCCGCGUCUGAUUAGCUGGUUGGUUGAGGUAACGGCUCACCAAGGCGACGAUCAGUAGCCGGCUUGAGAGAGUGAACGGCCACAUUGGGACUGAGACACGGCCCAAACUCCUACGGGAGGCAGCAGUGGGGAAUAUUGCACAAUGGGGGAAACCCGUGAUGCAGCGAACGCCGCGUGAGUGAAGAAGUAUUUCGGUAUGUAAAGCUCUAUCAGCA